This 253-nucleotide ribosomal RNA is filed under the name uncultured bacterium. RNAcentral's name for it is "partial 16S ribosomal RNA". It matches the Rfam family "Bacterial small subunit ribosomal RNA", at positions 524 to 776 of the family's 1533-position model. The record is from RNAcentral.
UACGAAGGGGGCUAGCGUUGUUCGGAAUCACUGGGCGUAAAGGGCGCGUAGGCGGCUUUAUAAGUCGGGGGUAAAAGCCUGUGGCUCAACCACAGAAUUGCCUUCGAUACUGUAGAGCUUGAGACCGGAAGAGGUAAGUGGAACUGCGAGUGUAGAGGUGAAAUUCGUAGAUAUUCGCAAGAACACCAGUGGCGAAGGCGGCUUACUGGUCCGGUUCUGACGCUGAGGCGCGAAAGCGUGGGGAGCAAACAGG